RNAcentral lists this Y RNA (95 nucleotides) under Prolemur simus (greater bamboo lemur). RNAcentral's name for it is "Y RNA (ENSPSMG00000005145.1)". It matches the Rfam family "Y RNA". From Rfam's summary of the family: Y RNAs are components of the Ro ribonucleoprotein particle (Ro RNP), in association with Ro60 and La proteins. Lineage: Eukaryota; Metazoa; Chordata; Mammalia; Primates; Lemuridae. The record is from Rfam by way of RNAcentral.
GGCUGGUCUGAUGGUAGUGGGUUAUCAGAACUUAUUAAUAUUAGUGUCACUAAAGUUGGUAUACAACCCCCCACUGCUAAAUUUGACUGGCAAAA